RNAcentral lists this ribosomal RNA (110 nucleotides) under uncultured eukaryote. Its description in RNAcentral is "partial small subunit ribosomal RNA". It matches the Rfam family "Eukaryotic small subunit ribosomal RNA", at positions 1676 to 1785 of the family's 1831-position model. The record is from RNAcentral.
UCGCUCCUACCGAUUGAAUGAUCCGGUAAAGUCUUUGGACCGUGACUGCUUGGGGGCAACCUCAAGUAGAUGUGGGAAGUUGAUUAAACCUUAUCAUUUAGAGGAAGGUG